Molecule: long non-coding RNA, 514 nt
Organism: Pogoniulus pusillus (Red-fronted tinkerbird)
Lineage: Eukaryota; Metazoa; Chordata; Aves; Piciformes; Lybiidae
Exons: 3
Source: RefSeq, a predicted model, not a curated record
CUUGAUGGUAAUGUGUGACACAAAAAUUAGCUGGCUGGAUUAAAACUGGUGAGCUGCAGAGCAUGAGGUUCUUCACUUCUUGGGUCUUCGCCCACCAUACACUUGGAGUUUAAGCAGCAGCAGUUCUGGAAGAUUUUGUGAUAAAAUGAGACAGAAGAGUAUUUGCCACAGUCAUCAAAGAGCAUUGCAUGUUAGUGCUGCUGAGUGUACUAUGUCCUUGUUUCCAGAGGUGGAUAACUCACUGAAGGGCUCUGACAAUCCCAGGUUUGCCCCACUCUGACCCCUGCCCAAGUCAGGGCCCUGUUUCCAUCAGGAAGAGCCCAACUGUAUCUGGAAUUCAUACAACAGGUACCCAUCUGCCAAACAGCUGUUUGAGGCUGAAAAAACCUGGGAGAAAGCCAGGCAGUUUCUGUCAGAUGUUAGUGUUGCAGUUUUAAGAAUUAGCUAAAAAAAUCUUUGGGCAGCUCUGCGACUACACUCAGAAGUUUUUGCUCUAAGCUGCUGUAACUGAUAA